Molecule: small RNA, 791 nt
Filed under: Histoplasma capsulatum
Lineage: Eukaryota; Fungi; Ascomycota; Eurotiomycetes; Onygenales; Ajellomycetaceae
Also listed under: 1 other name
Description: hypothetical RNA
Source: RNAcentral
ACCUACCACUGCCAAUCUACCUACCGCUGCCAACCUAUCUAUCACUGCUAAUCUAUCGCUGCUAAUCUAUCGCUGCUAAUCUAUCGCUGCUAAUCUAUCGCUGCUAAUCUAUCGCUGCUAAUCUAUCGCUGCUAAUCUAUCGCUGCCAACCUACCUACCGCUGCCAACCUACCUACCGCUGCCAACCUAUCUAUCACUGCUAAUCUAUCGCUGCUAAUCUAUCGCUGCUAAUCUAUCGCUGCUAAUCUAUCGCUGCUAAUCUAUCGCUGCUAAUCUAUCGCUGCUAAUCUAUCGCUGCUAAUCUAUCGCUGCUAAUCUAUCGCUGCUAAUCUAUCGCUGCCAACCUACCUACCGCUGCCAACCUACCUACCGCUGCCAACCUAUCUAUCGCUGCCAACCUAUAUAGGGUAAAUCAUGGUCCCAUUUGGUCCCAUUUUGUAAAAUGGGACCAAAUGGGACUGGGACCACUAAUUUAUUAGUAAAACAUGAUCUGGGACUAGAUUUAUAAUAUAAACAGUGUAAAGUGACUAAUUUGCUAAACACUAUAUGAGACCAGGACUAAGAUAUCUAAUAAUGGAACUGAGGAAAAAUUUGGUCCCAGUCCCAUGCAUGGUCACAUGGCCAGUCUAUAAUCUACUUAGUCUGAAAAUAAAAGAUGAAAGUCAAACUUGAAGAAGAUGAGUCUGUAAUAGACUCUCUGCUCUUGUAAGCUCACUAUAUUUAUAGUUGACUAGAAGAAAAUGCUCUAGCCAAGUUUCAAUCUUGAAUUGAGUUGUGUAUAUAUGAGAUGU